RNAcentral lists this ribosomal RNA (969 nucleotides) under Staphylococcus pseudintermedius. Its description in RNAcentral is "partial 23S ribosomal RNA". It matches the Rfam family "Bacterial large subunit ribosomal RNA", at positions 1239 to 2206 of the family's 2925-position model. Lineage: Bacteria; Bacillati; Bacillota; Bacilli; Caryophanales; Staphylococcaceae. The record is from RNAcentral.
UUCUAAGGGCGUUGAAGCAUGAUCGCAAGGACAUGUGGAGCGCUUAGAAGUGAGAAUGCCGGUGUGAGUAGCGAAAGACGGGUGAGAAUCCCGUCCACCGAUUGACUAAGGUUUCCAGAGGAAGGCUCGUCCGCUCUGGGUUAGUCGGGUCCUAAGCUGAGGCCGACAGGCGUAGGCGAUGGAUAACAGGUUGAUAUUCCUGUACCACCAUUAUUCGUUUUAAGCGAUGGGGGGACGCAGUAGGAUAGGCGAAGCGUGCUGUUGGAGUGCACGUCCAAGCAGUGAGAUUGAGUGUUAGGCAAAUCCGGCACUCUUAAGAUUGAGCUGUGAUGGGGAGAGGAACUUGUUCCUCGAGUCGUUGAUUUCACACUGCCGAGAAAAGCCUCUAGCUAGAAUAACGGUGCCCGUACCGCAAACCGACACAGGUAGUCAAGAUGAGAAUUCUAAGGUGAGCGAGCGAACUCUCGUUAAGGAACUCGGCAAAAUGACCCCGUAACUUCGGGAGAAGGGGUGCUCUUUGAGGUUCACGCUUCGAAGAGCCGCAGUGAAUAGGCCCAAGCGACUGUUUAUCAAAAACACAGGUCUCUGCUAAACCGUAAGGUGACGUAUAGGGGCUGACGCCUGCCCGGUGCUGGAAGGUUAAGAGGAGUGGUUAGCGCAAGCGAAGCUACGAAUCGAAGCCCCAGUAAACGGCGGCCGUAACUAUAACGGUCCUAAGGUAGCGAAAUUCCUUGUCGGGUAAGUUCCGACCCGCACGAAAGGCGUAACGAUUUGGGCACUGUCUCAACGAGAGACUCGGUGAAAUCAUAGUACCGGUGAAGAUGCCGGUUACCCGCGACAGGACGGAAAGACCCCGUGGAGCUUUACUGUAGCCUGAUAUUGAAAUUCGGUACAGUUUGUACAGGAUAGGUAGGAGCCUUAGAAGCGUGAGCGCUAGCUUACGUGGAGGCAUUGGUGGGAUACUACCCU